AGGGGACGCUGUCUGAGGUGACCUCGGGGACCGAGCCAACUGGAAAGUCCACGAUGUUGGAGUAUGGCAUGUUUCUUUUUUGCACACUCUUGUUCCUCACUGUCUGCAUGACUUCACAUCAGAGAGGCUGACAAGAGUAGGCAUAGUCGCCCUUAGCUGUCUAUCAUGAUAAACCUGAUCAUGUCGGGAUGUCUGCGCGGCUCAGUCGGUUAAGCGUCUGCCUUCGGCUCAGGCCUCCGGCUUCACCUUGAUCCUGAAAGAUAGCCAGUGCGGUCCCCUCACAGUGCUGUGUCCCUCCGUGUGGUCCACCUCCCCCGCCUCCAGGCCGGCACCGGCUCCGUCCCUGCCACCGCACCACUGCUGUAUUGUCAGCAGCAACACUGCGCCCAGCACGCCCAGCUGGUGAGCUGAUGA
This 414-nucleotide long non-coding RNA is filed under the name Ursus maritimus (polar bear). Its description in RNAcentral is "lncRNA (ENSUMAG00000011024.1)". Lineage: Eukaryota; Metazoa; Chordata; Mammalia; Carnivora; Ursidae. The record is from RNAcentral.